RNAcentral lists this ribosomal RNA (253 nucleotides) under uncultured bacterium. RNAcentral's name for it is "partial 16S ribosomal RNA". It matches the Rfam family "Bacterial small subunit ribosomal RNA", at positions 524 to 776 of the family's 1533-position model. The record is from RNAcentral.
UACGUAGGGUGCAAGCGUUAUCCGGAAUUAUUGGGCGUAAAGCGCGUGUAGGCGGUCCGGUAAGUCCGCUGUGAAAGUCGGGGGCUCAACCCUCGGAUGCCGGUGGAUACUGUCGGGCUUGAGUACGGAAGAGGCGAGUGGAAUUCCUGGUGUAGCGGUGAAAUACGCAGAUAUCAGGAGGAACACCAAUUGCGAAGGCAGCUCGCUGGGACGUUACUGACGCUGAGACGCGAAAGCGUGGGGAGCAAACAGG